RNAcentral lists this ribosomal RNA (229 nucleotides) under uncultured bacterium. RNAcentral's name for it is "partial 16S ribosomal RNA". It matches the Rfam family "Bacterial small subunit ribosomal RNA", at positions 15 to 239 of the family's 1533-position model. The record is from RNAcentral.
GAUCAUGGCUCAGGAUGAACGCUAGCGACAGGCCUAACACAUGCAAGUCGAACGAGCGAGAGAGAGCUUGCUUUCUCGAGCGAGUGGCGAACGGGUGAGUAACGCGUGAGGAACCUGCCUCAAAGAGGGGGACAACAGUUGGAAACGACUGCUAAUACCGCAUAAGCCCACGGCUCGGCAUCGAGCAGAGGGAAAAGGAGCAAUCCGCUUUGAGAUGGCCUCGCGUCCG